UACAGAGGGUGCAAGCGUUAAUCGGAAUUACUGGGCGUAAAGCGCGCGUAGGUGGUUUGUUAAGUUGGAUGUGAAAUCCCCGGGCUCAACCUAGGAACUGCAUUCAAAACUGACUGACUAGAGUAUGGUAGAGGGUGGUGGAAUUUCCUGUGUAGCGGUGAAAUGCGUAGAUAUAGGAAGGAACACCAGUGGCGAAGGCGACCACCUGGACUAAUACUGACACUGAGGUGCGAAAGCGUGGGGAGCAAACAGG
Molecule: ribosomal RNA, 253 nt
Filed under: uncultured Pseudomonas sp.
Lineage: Bacteria; Pseudomonadati; Pseudomonadota; Gammaproteobacteria; Pseudomonadales; Pseudomonadaceae
Description: partial 16S ribosomal RNA
Rfam family: Bacterial small subunit ribosomal RNA
Source: RNAcentral